Molecule: non-coding RNA, 100 nt
Filed under: uncultured Dysosmobacter sp.
Lineage: Bacteria; Bacillati; Bacillota; Clostridia; Eubacteriales; Oscillospiraceae
Source: RNAcentral
ACAGGGGCGCUGAAGAGGACUUCGGCUGAGAUGCAGGACUGAAACCGUCCGCUGUCCCUUGAACCUGAUCCGGGUAAUGCCGGCGUAGGAAGUGAAUGAA